GAUGAACGCUGGCGGCGUGCCUAAUACAUGCAAGUCGAGCGAACAGACGAGGAGCUUGCUCCUCUGACGUUAGCGGCGGACGGGUGAGUAACACGUGGAUAACCUACCUAUAAGACUGGGAUAACUUCGGGAAACCGGAGCUAAUACCGGAUAAUAUAUUGAACCGCAUGGUUCAAUAGUGAAAGACGGUUUUGCUGUCACUUAUAGAUGGAUCCGCGCCGCAUUAGCUAGUUGGUAAGGUAACGGCUUACCAAGGCAACGUUCCGUAGCCGACCUGAGAGGGUGAUAGGCCACACUGGAACUGAGACACGGUCCAGACUCCUACGGGAGGCAGCAGUAGGGAAUCUUCCGCAAUGGGCGAAAGCCUGACGGAGCAACGCCGCGUGAGUGAUGAAGGUCUUCGGAUCGUAAAACUCUGUUAUUAGGGAAGAACAAAUGUGUAAGUAACUAUGCACGUCUUGACGGUACCUAAUCAGAAAGCCACGGCUAACUACGUG
Molecule: ribosomal RNA, 497 nt
Filed under: uncultured bacterium
Lineage: Bacteria
Description: partial 16S ribosomal RNA
Rfam family: Bacterial small subunit ribosomal RNA
Source: RNAcentral